Long non-coding RNA from Calidris pugnax (ruff), 373 nucleotides. RefSeq lists it as uncharacterized. NCBI's taxonomy places the organism in Eukaryota, Metazoa, Chordata, Aves, Charadriiformes, Scolopacidae. The transcript has 3 exons. The record is from RefSeq and is a predicted model, not a curated record.
CCCCACCCUCCAGCCCAGCCCAGGAGAAGGGAGGUCAGCUGCAGGUGGAGGAAGGCUGAAAAUCUUCUCCCAGCAGAGGAGAGGGCAGUAGCAGCCCAGCUGGAGAGACUGCGACUAGACCACCUUUCCCCACGAGCUGCCCAGGUCCUCAGAAAGCUGGAGCCGCACCAGAGACAGAGGAGCAUCUACCAGCACGUCGCUGAGGAGCGGAGGCGGCGUCGAGAGCAGCAGAGGCAGCUCCCCUGCACCAGAUGCUGGAACCGCAGCAGAGGAGGUGGUGCCGGGAGCGGCGGCUGUGGCAGUGGCUGUUAGCCAACGGCGGGGAGGCCUCUCACCUGCAGACAUGCGCCUGUAAAUACAAAAUAAAGAGCUC